UAGGGAAUCUUCCACAAUGGGCGAAAGCCUGAUGGAGCAACGCCGCGUGAGUGAUGAAGGCCUUCGGGUUGUAAAACUCUGUCAUUCGGGACGAACCGGAGUCUGAGGAAAUGCAGACUCUCUGACGGUACCGGAGGAGGAAGCCCCGGCUAACUACGUG
Molecule: ribosomal RNA, 160 nt
Filed under: uncultured bacterium
Lineage: Bacteria
Description: partial 16S ribosomal RNA
Rfam family: Bacterial small subunit ribosomal RNA
Source: RNAcentral